UCAAGUCAUCGCUUACCUGCCCGCCCUCCACCGCAGCCUCCUCGCCUAGGAUCCCGCUCGUUUAUGGAAGCCGGAUCCGUUGACUUCAGCCUGGAACCCACAGACUACCUCCCUGAUUGUGAUCAUUCUUUCCCAAACUCCACCCCAGGAUCCCCACCACAUCACAUUACUUUGCUUCAAUAAAAAAUCUUUAACUGA
Molecule: long non-coding RNA, 198 nt
Organism: Xiphophorus hellerii (green swordtail)
Lineage: Eukaryota; Metazoa; Chordata; Actinopteri; Cyprinodontiformes; Poeciliidae
Exons: 2
Source: RefSeq, a predicted model, not a curated record